RNAcentral lists this transfer RNA (69 nucleotides) under Parankylopteryx sp. YJ-2017. Its description in RNAcentral is "tRNA-Trp". It matches the Rfam family "tRNA". From Rfam's summary of the family: Transfer RNA (tRNA) molecules are approximately 80 nucleotides in length. Their secondary structure includes four short double-helical elements and three loops (D, anti-codon, and T loops). Further hydrogen bonds mediate the characteristic L-shaped molecular structure. tRNAs have two regions of fundamental functional importance: the anti-codon, which is responsible for specific mRNA codon recognition, and the 3' end, to which the tRNAs corresponding amino acid is attached (by aminoacyl-tRNA synthetases). tRNAs cope with the degeneracy of the genetic code in two manners: having more than one tRNA (with a specific anti-codon) for a particular amino acid; and 'wobble' base-pairing, i.e. permitting non-standard base-pairing at the 3rd anti-codon position. Lineage: Eukaryota; Metazoa; Arthropoda; Insecta; Neuroptera; Chrysopidae. The record is from RNAcentral.
AAGGUUUUAAGUUAAUAAAACUAAUAGCCUUCAAAGCUUUAAAUAUAAAUUUAAAUUUUUUAAACCUUA